This 230-nucleotide ribosomal RNA is filed under the name uncultured bacterium. Its description in RNAcentral is "partial 16S ribosomal RNA". It matches the Rfam family "Bacterial small subunit ribosomal RNA", at positions 568 to 796 of the family's 1533-position model. The record is from RNAcentral.
CUCGUAGGCGGCUUGGCAAGUCGAUCGUGAAAGCCCGGGGCUUAACCCCGGGACGCCGGUCGAUACUGCCAUGGCUUGGGUCCGGUAGAGGAGAAUGGAAUUCCCGGUGUAGCGGUGAAAUGCGCAGAUAUCGGGAGGAACACCAGUAGCGAAGGCGGUUCUCUGGGCCGGUACCGACGCUGAGGAGCGAAAGCGUGGGGAGCAAACAGGAUUAGAUACCCUGGUAGUCC